UUCUGAGUGGCUGAGAUAUUAGGCUUUAAACUUUUAAUUUAACUUACGGUUAUCACUAACCCUCAGAAU
This 69-nucleotide transfer RNA is filed under the name Perotrochus quoyanus. RNAcentral's name for it is "tRNA-Lys". Lineage: Eukaryota; Metazoa; Mollusca; Gastropoda; Pleurotomariida; Pleurotomariidae. The record is from RNAcentral.